GACGAACGCUGGCGGCGUGCUUAACACAUGCAAGUCGAACGGAAAGGCCCUGCUUUUGUGGGGUGCUCGAGUGGCGAACGGGUGAGUAACACGUGAGUAACCUGCCCUUGACUUUGGGAUAACUUCAGGAAACUGGGGCUAAUACCGGAUAGGAGCUCCUGCUGCAUGGUGGGGGUUGGAAAGUUUCGGCGGUUGGGGAUGGACUCGCGGCUUAUCAGCUUGUUGGUGGGGUAGUGGCUUACCAAGGCUUUGACGGGUAGCCGGCCUGAGAGGGUGACCGGCCACAUUGGGACUGAGAUACGGCCCAGACUCCUACGGGAGGCAGCAGUGGGGAAUAUUGCACAAUGGGCGGAAGCCUGAUGCAGCAACGCCGCGUGCGGGAUGGCGGCCUUCGGGUUGUAAACCGCUUUCGCCUGUGGCGAAGCGUGAGUGACGGUAAUGGGUAAAGAAGCACCGGCUAACUACGUG
This 468-nucleotide ribosomal RNA is filed under the name uncultured bacterium. Its description in RNAcentral is "partial 16S ribosomal RNA". It matches the Rfam family "Bacterial small subunit ribosomal RNA", at positions 28 to 507 of the family's 1533-position model. The record is from RNAcentral.